CCUACGGGGUGCAGCAGUGAGGAAUAUUGGUCAAUGGACGAGAGUCUGAACCAGCCAAGUAGCGUGAAGGAUGACUGCCCUAUGGGUUGUAAACUUCUUUUAUAUGGGAAUAAAAUGUUCCACGUGUGGGAUUUUGUAUGUACCAUAUGAAUAAGGAUCGGCUAACUCCGUGCCAGCAGCCGCGGUAAUACGGAGGAUCCGAGCGUUAUCCGGAUUUAUUGGGUUUAAAGGGAGCGUAGGUGGAUUGUUAAGUCAGUUGUGAAAGUUUGCGGCUCAACCGUAAAAUUGCAGUUGAAACUGGCAGUCUUGAGUACAGUAGAGGUGGGCGGAAUUCGUGGUGUAGCGGUGAAAUGCUUAGAUAUCACGAAGAACUCCGAUUGCGAAGGCAGUUCACUGGACUGCAACUGACACUGAGGCUCGAAAGUGUGGGUAUCAAACAGGAUUAGAUACCCUUUGUAGUC
Molecule: ribosomal RNA, 461 nt
Filed under: uncultured bacterium
Lineage: Bacteria
Description: partial 16S ribosomal RNA
Rfam family: Bacterial small subunit ribosomal RNA
Source: RNAcentral